AGUUAUACCCAGAUGCCACAGAAACAUAGGAUCUUAGAGGAGAAGUAACUUAGCAUUUCAUGGAUGGUGCUGCAUCUGUAAGCGAGGAUGGACAAAUGUGUCCAGAACAAGCAGUUGUAACUAUUGUGAGGCCCCAUCUGGAACAGAAGGUGAUUCAAUCUCUUCCUUUGAUUGGAAUCUUUCAUACUUUAUUUUUCAGCAUUCUGAGCUAGGAAACAUGUGAAUACUGAAUUUCAACAGCUAUCUCAUUUCACCUGAUAGUACUUUUCUUUGCCUAGGCAAAGGAACAGAACAGUUUAACCUGCAUCACAAACUUCAAAAGAGUUGUAGCUACUCCUGGAAAGAGAGAGAUAGGAGGCUGCCCAUGCUUCAACAUCCUCUGGAUUUUGAGCCAGAAUGAAAACAAGAAGAAAACAACACUUGAAGUUCUGACUUAGUCUGGGCCCACAGUCUCAGAUCCUUUGAGUUACACAGCAGGAAGGAAAGAGUCCCCUAUGGGGUCAUGAACCACAUCGUCUGAUUGAAUAAUUGGUGCUUAUUUCUGGGUCCUCAACUUGGCCAUCUAACAGCUUGCAUGUGCUCCAUUUAUAGU
This is a long non-coding RNA of Homo sapiens (human), 592 nucleotides long. Ensembl annotates it as CD200R1L antisense RNA 1. Its record names the gene CD200R1L-AS1. The record is from Ensembl. Lineage: Eukaryota; Metazoa; Chordata; Mammalia; Primates; Hominidae.